GAUGAACGCUGACAGAAUGCUUAACACAUGCAAGUCAACUUGAAUUUGGGUUUUUAACUUAGGUUUGGGUGGCGGACGGGUGAGUAACGCGUAAAGAACUUGCCUCACAGCUAGGGACAACAUUUGGAAACGAAUGCUAAUACCUAAUAUUAUGAUAAUAGGGCAUCCUAUAAUUAUGAAAGCUAUAAGCGCUGUGAGAGAGCUUUGCGUCCCAUUAGCUAGUUGGAGAGGUAACGGCUCACCAAGGCGAUGAUGGGUAGCCGGCCUGAGAGGGUGAUCGGCCACAAGGGGACGGAGACACGGCCCUUACCCCUACGGGAGGCAGAAGUGGGGAAUAUUGGACAAGGGACCAAGAGUGUGAUCGAGACAUCCUGUGUGCAAGAUGAAGUUUUUCGGAAUGUAAAGUGCUUUCAGUUGGGAAGAAAGAAAUGACGGUACCAACAGAAGAAGUGACGGCUAAAUACGUG
Molecule: ribosomal RNA, 467 nt
Filed under: uncultured bacterium
Lineage: Bacteria
Description: partial 16S ribosomal RNA
Rfam family: Bacterial small subunit ribosomal RNA
Source: RNAcentral